UAUCUCUGUAGAGUCUGCAUAUCAAUAAGCGGAGGAAAAGAAACUAACAAGGAUUCCCUUAGUAACGGCGAGUGAAGCGGGAAGAGCUCAAAUUUGAAAUCUUCAAGGUUCUACCUUGACGAAUUGUAGUUUAAAGAAGUGUUUUCUGUUAGAUGAGUAGCAAAAGUUCCUUGGAAUGGGACAUCAUAGAGGGUGAGAAUCCCGUAUUUGGUUAUUCAUUCUAGCUUGUGAUACACUUUCAAAGAGUCGGAUUGUUUGGGAAUGCAGUCCAAAAUGGGUGGUAAAUUUCAUCUAAAGCUAAAUAUUGGCGAGAGACCGAUAGCGAACAAGUACCGUGAGGGAAAGAUGAAAAGAACUUUGAAAAGAGAGUUAAACAGUACGUGAAAUUGUCAAAAGGGAAGCGUUUGACACCAGUGUUGUUUUUCCGAAAAUCAAUUAAAAUGGCUUGAUUUUGUGUUGUAUUGACCUUAAAAGCUUUCUUCACUUUUUUCAUGUCUUUUUUAAUGCACUUUUCGUUUAACAAGUCAACAUCAGUUUCUUUUGUUGUAAAAAGGUCAUUGGAAGGUGGCUUUCUUUUCGGAGAAAGUGUUUAUAGCCUUUGACUUCUGCAAUCGGAGAGACUGAGGUCUGCAGCGUAGAUCCUUCUGGAUUAGAUUCAUUUGUGCUAAGUUACAACCGUUUAUAGACAACUUGUUGACUAUAUUCGAUCCUGUAGCUUACUCGCUUAUGUAAUUUUACCUACGCUUAGGAUGUUGACGAGACUGUCGAUCUC
This 772-nucleotide ribosomal RNA is filed under the name uncultured Neocallimastigales. RNAcentral's name for it is "partial large subunit ribosomal RNA". It matches the Rfam family "Eukaryotic large subunit ribosomal RNA", at positions 24 to 641 of the family's 3401-position model. Lineage: Eukaryota; Fungi; Neocallimastigomycota; Neocallimastigomycetes; Neocallimastigales. The record is from RNAcentral.